Molecule: ribosomal RNA, 494 nt
Filed under: uncultured bacterium
Lineage: Bacteria
Description: partial 16S ribosomal RNA
Rfam family: Bacterial small subunit ribosomal RNA
Source: RNAcentral
GACGAACGCUGGCGGCGUGCUUAACACAUGCAAGUCGAACGGUGAAGCGCCUUCCUUUUUGGUGGGUGUGGAUGAGUGGCGAACGGGUGAGUAACACGUGAGUAACCUGCCCCCUUCUUCUGGAUAACCGCAUGAAAGUGUGGCUAAUACGGGAUAUUCUGGGUCUGUCGCAUGAUGGGUCUGGGAAAGUUAUUGUUUCGGUGGGGGAUGGGCUCGCGGCCUAUCAGCUUGUUGGUGGGGUGAUGGCCUACCAAGGCGGUGACGGGUAGCCGGCCUGAGAGGGUGGACGGUCACACUGGGACUGAGACACGGCCCAGACUCCUACGGGAGGCAGCAGUGGGGAAUAUUGCACAAUGGGCGCAAGCCUGAUGCAGCGACGCCGCGUGAGGGAUGGAGGCCUUCGGGUUGUGAACCUCUUUCGCCAGUGAAGCAGGCCUGCCUCGUUUGUGGGUGGGUUGACGGUAGCUGGAUAAGAAGCGCCGGCUAACUACGUG